GAUGAAGAACGUAGCGAAAUGCGAUAAGUAAUGUGAAUUGCAGAAUUCAGUGAAUCAUCGAAUCUUUGAACGCACAUUGCGCCCGCCAGUAUUCUGGCGGGCAUGCCUGUUCGAGCGUCAUUUCAACCAUCAAGCCCCAGGCUUGUGUUGGGGACCUGCGGCUGCCGCAGGCCCUGAAAACCAGUGGCGGGCUCGCUGUCACACCGGGCGUAGUAGAUUUUAUCUCGCUCAGGGCGUGCUGCGGGUUCCGGCCGUUAAAAAGCCUUUUUUACCCAAGGUUGACCUCGGAUCAGGUAGGAAGACCCGCUGAACUUAAGCAUAUAAAUAAGCGGAGGA
Molecule: unclassified non-coding RNA, 336 nt
Filed under: soil metagenome
Description: partial contains 5.8S ribosomal RNA, internal transcribed spacer 2, and large subunit ribosomal RNA
Rfam family: 5.8S ribosomal RNA (bases 1-120)
Source: RNAcentral